This is a long non-coding RNA of Ailuropoda melanoleuca (giant panda), 1583 nucleotides long. RefSeq lists it as uncharacterized. The transcript is spliced from 3 exons. The record is from RefSeq and is a predicted model, not a curated record. NCBI's taxonomy places the organism in Eukaryota, Metazoa, Chordata, Mammalia, Carnivora, Ursidae.
CUAUUUCUUACAGUCGAGGUGAAAGCUGUGUGUCACUGCUUAAUUAGCAAUGUUGUCCCCACCUGUUACCUUAACUAGCACAUCUGUUAAAAAUGGUACCAUGAGGUACGUGUCCUAGAAUUUGGUUUUUAAAUUCAGCGCGAGGUUUUGUGUGUGGUAAAUAUGACUCUGGUUCCUUCGUCCUCGGUGCUGUGCUGUUCUCUCCUAUCACGCGGCUAUUCUAGGAGUUGAUGUUUGGCGUUUCACAGUUAGGAACAGUCUUGUACUCCUCUUACCUCUUCAGGACAGGUGUGAGCUUUCCUUGUUGGAUGCUUUGAGGUGGCUUGCUCCAUCUGCAGUCCCAUGAGACAACGUCACGUUGUGCUCGGGUGGUUCUCAGCGUUUCUAGUCGACCAGCAGAACACGAGUUCUCUCUGCUGCUCCACAACCUCGUCGGACUUCUCUCUGUUAGAAUUUCGUGUGAUAUCGGUCUCGGGAGAGUACAGGCAAAUCGUCUUUUAUAGGACAGGAAUGAGAAGAUGAUAAAAUUUAUGCUGUUUUAAUUCAGAUUUUGAAUCUCCCUAGGAUAGCUUUUAAGAAAUCUUUUUUUUUUUUUUUUUAACUGCCAAAAGCAGGUUAUGCCCCUUGCAUUUUCUGUCUUAGAAAUCAGGUGGUGGAAGGAUAAUCUCUUUUUGACCAGCAGUUGCUUGUGUUGUAUGUUUUUCGUUAUAAUAAAGCAUCCUCUGAAAGCCUUUAUGAUUUUGCUUUUUAUAAAAGAUUUAUUUAUUUGGGGGGGAGGGGCAGAGGGAGAAGGGAGAAAGCAUUCCAAGCGGACUCCAUGCUGAGUGCGUGGAGCCCGACACGGGGCUCCAUCCCAUGACCCCGAGAUCAUGACCUGAGCCAAAACCAGCAGUUGGACGCUUAGCUGACUGCACCAUCCAGGCGCCUCUGUAAUUUUCCUUUGAGUACACAGUAUCAGACUAUGCACGUUCUCAGAUUUUUUCAGAGCUUUGUUGCCAUGCAGUAUACUUGCGUGGUCUUAAAGUGCGUAAUCUCAUAAGUUUGGACACGUAUACGUCCGUGAAACCAUUACCACGGUGAAGCUAGUAAACGUUUUGGUUAGUUAACUGUUGUCUGAUUUGUGAUCAUGGCAUUAGGGAUUUUGGAUCUUCUGUUAGGAUUUCGUGUGUGUUUAGGGAACCACUCUGCCGGUGACUUGACUCUCGGGGAUGUGGCAGUAGAUGGGUCCCAGGCCUCGACGGUGCUUACAAGUCCCGUGGAUGGGUCUUGAUGCGUUGAGCGCACCCCGCCUGGUCUCACAGUCUGCGCUUGUGUGUGUCUCAUUUCAGGUACACGUUCCUGGAAUACGCAUCUCCUGCCCAUGCCUUGGACGCCGUGAAGAAUGCUGAUGGCUACAAGCUGGACAAGCAGCACACCUUCAGGGUCAACCUCUUCACGGACUUUGACAAGUAUAUGACUAUCAGUGAUGAGUGGCAUAUUCCAGAGAAACAACCUUUCAAAGACUUGGGAAAUUUACGUUACUGGCUUGAGGAGGCAGAAUGCAGAGAUCAGUACAGUGUCAUUUUUGAGAGUGGAGACCAUAC